Long non-coding RNA from Chrysoperla carnea, 451 nucleotides. RefSeq lists it as uncharacterized. The transcript has 3 exons. The record is from RefSeq and is a predicted model, not a curated record. Lineage: Eukaryota; Metazoa; Arthropoda; Insecta; Neuroptera; Chrysopidae.
GGACUUUAUGAUGUAACCAUUAAAGGUUUGAAUAAAAAUGAAGCAGAGAAUGAUAAAUAUGUCGAUAUAGCAGACCUUAAAUAUAAGAAAAUAGCCAAGAAACAUUUCGUACUUAAUGGAACGGUUGUGAUUAAAGAUGAUAUACCAAAGGAUGUGAAGGUGUUUAUAUUAACCGCAAGAAAAAUAGGGGGAACGUAUGUGGAUCAGCCAGCAGCGUCUUUAAACAAUUUAGAUGCUUGUACAGAGUUUUAUAAAGAUAAAAUAGCAGUGCCGCACUUUCUAAAUCAUUCGGAUUUUCCCUACAUAUGUCCAUUUCCCAAGGGAACAUUUCAUGUUUUCAAUCUGAGUGCCUCUCCAGAAAAUUUACCAAAGUUACUUCCCUAUGGCGAGUGGAAGGUAAUAGUUCAAUGGAAAGUGGUAGGUAGAAUAAUAUUUAAUGCUAUAGGAUAUU